CAAAGGAAAGGAAAUAUAUUCUAUCCCUACUGACAUCAGGCCAAGUGAGGGCUCAUUUCCCAAUCCGUUCUUCCUGUGAAUGAGAAAACAAGAUAUCAAAUUUGAGUUCAUUUAAGAUUCCACCCAGUUUAAGCCAUCCAGUUUCAUCCAUACCCAGGAAGAAAAAUAUAUUGACCUAACAGAGAAGGGAAUUUGAAAGCAUUUUAGUGCACUAUUUGAUACAGGCUUUUAAAUAUAAGUCCAACAAAACAAUGUUCUUAGUCUAUAGAUUUUUUUUUUUACUGAAAAAAAUUUUUCCAGAGUUAAUAAUGUUGAAGAAUACUUUGUCUUCAUUAUUUUGCCUAGUUGAUGUAUAGUUGCAUUUUUGGGGGGAGGAGGUAAUAUAUAUAUCACCUUAAUUUAAUUAAGAAAAUAAUUCUGGAUAUGUAAAUUCAUCUGCACUUGUUUUUAGCCAAUAUAUCUGAAAAUCUAAUUUAUAUGUUUUACCACAAAAGGAACACAGUGAUAAGUGCACAGAUGAAAAAAAUCAUUUCAACGGGGUUUCAUUACGGGCCUGAUCUGAAAUAGAAAUUUAGUACAACACAUCAUUCCUAUUUAAAGUAGCACUUGGGGCUUCAAACAUCAUGAAACAUGAUGUUUCAGACAUCAAACAAUUUUAAGAAAUAAAUAUGCAACACAUUUCAAGAUGAACAUCUAGUAUUUACUCUUGGAACGGGGUGCAGUGAGGGAUGGGAAGAAAAUAGGAACAUCUUCCUGGUAAAUACCAGUGCAUGGAUGGUUUUCAGAUAGUAGAGACCCCACAUUCACAUACAGACACACGUACACACACACACACACAAUCUUGGGUGACUAAUCACAAUUCCAUAUGCAGAAGCUCAACAUUAAUAGAGCCAUAGCCCAAUUAAGCCAUAUCCUAUUAUUUAUUUAUAUCUUCUAUACCAAGGGAAAAUUUGAAAUCUUGAUGUACUUACUAUUCCCCAAAGUGCAGUAUACAGAUGCAUCAGAAACUACCAAACUUCCUGAAAUAGUGAGUCCUUUGACAAACUACUUGAAUUCAGAAGGAAACAUCAGAAAGGCCCGUGACAAUCAAUACAAGAGAGCCAUUAAUGGGCCAAGAUUGCUAAGAACACAGAGAAAUGUAAUGAGGGUAUUAAUACUGAUCCCACUUGGAAGCUGUGCUGCGGCCAUCAAAGUGACUGCAGUUGAGUUUCUUAUACUCAGGUUUUCAGCUGGACAGAGAGAUCCAACUGACAGAGAGAUGCCUGUGGUGCUCAGUCUUUUUGAUACGAGUAAACAUCUGAUAUCCUGUCCACUGCCAACUUUUUCACCUCCUCCACCCCAUACUCCCAGUGCCAUUAUUUUAAUUGUUUUAGUCUGCACCAAAAAAAGUCUAUUUAAAAAUUGCCUGUGGGCAGGCGCCUGGUGGCUCAGUCAGACAUCUGACUUUUGAUUUCAGUGUCAGGUCCUGGUCCUGGAGUCCUGGGAUCAAGCCCUACAUCCUGCUCGCUGCUCAGCAGAAGGCUACUUCUCCCUCUGCCCCUCACCCUGCUCAUGUGCUCUCUCUCUCUCUCACUCAAAUAAAUAAAUAAAAUCUUUAAAAAUAAGUAAAUAAAUAAUAAAAAAUUAAAAUUGCCUGUGGGGCACCCCAUUGGUGGCUCAAUCCGUUAAGCAUCUGACUCUUGAUUUCAGCUCAGGUCCUGAUCUCAGGGUCAUAAGAUCAAGCCCCACAUUGGGCUCUGGGCUGAGCAGAAGUCUGCUGGAGAUUCUCUCCCUCUGCCCCUUCCCCCUGUGCAUGUGUGCUCUCUCUCUCUCUCAUAGAUAGAUAGAUAAAUAAAUUACCUACAUGUUUUAAUAGGCUACUUAGCUAUCAUAGUGAAAAAGCAAAGCAAAUUUAGAUAACCUUUGCACAGAAGAAAAAAACAAUUUCUUUGAAAAGAGAUUAUAGGUAGGCUUCGGUUUGUAUAGCACAUGGAGUUUGGAUGUUAAGGCUGAAGGCAAGGCAGUGGGAUGCUGAUGGGUUAAUCAGAAUGAACUAGAGUUUCCAUCUAUGAAUAGGAAAAUCUUUUGACAAUGCAUAAGUGAUUUUUCCCAGUAAUGCAGUUAAUGUUUUCAGAGUCGAUCAUUUCCACCACUGGCCGAUAAUGAUCAUUUAAAAGCAUUAGCUCACGUGACCAGUGCCUCUUGCAAUUCAGAUUAUGGCUUGACAGGAAACUGAAGCUCUCCAUUCUAGUCCUUAAAUUUCAGGGCAGAGGGUAAGAAGAGGCCAUCUCAAGCUCAGGCACUGUGAGUGGCUGUGUGUACAUUUUCCAAAGGAAAGUGGUAGCAUCUGAGCCCGUGUUAUGUCAGCACAGUUCAUUUUAGAGAGGUCAGCAGGAAAGAACUAGGGGAAAUUAUCUGUAGGAAGGACACGAGGGGUUGCUAUCCCUUUGUGUUUGAAUAGCUACUGCAAAACCAUCCGAACAUUAUGCUCAGGUCUUCCAAGGUGGUCUUUUGUUUGUUCCUUUCCUCUACUCAUUGGAACUAAAAUUAAUUACAGUGUUGAUCCCAAGCAUCCAAAGUCAGUGUCUUGCCACCAUGUCUGACAGUAUGAUCUGAAAUAGAAGGAUAAUAGCUUAUAGUGAAUUUUUUAUCAAGGUCUGAAGCUGUGCUUCUGAAAUUUAAGGUGCAUUCAAAAUUCCUGGACUCUUUUAAAAAUGAAAUUUCUGAUUCAGUAAGUCUGGGGUGGGACCUGAGAGCUUGCGUUUCCAGUAAGCUCCCAGGUGAUAGAAAUAUUGCGCUCUGAAGGACACACUUUGAGUAGCAAAACUCUCAAACACCGAAGAUCGGUCCCCAUGGUAGGAAAAUAGUAGACAUCUCAGGAUGGCCCAUGCCAUUCAGAUAGCAGUGGUACAACUCCUUCUGGAAAAGGUCUAAGUUAUGAACCUGUCUAUGUGCUGAAUACUCUUUUAGGUGCAGGUACAAGGUGAAAUUCUCCAUUGGGGACCACCCUACAAGCUCUUGCACCCAUGUUUUGGGGGAGAUGUUCUAUCAGUUGCCUCUCUGUAGUACUUAGUAGAGAACCACUUACGACAAUAAAUGGCAAAGGGGUUAGAGGAAGGGAAUGGUCUCUAGUACUUUCUUAGUACUAAUCCUUGUUGCUGUUGUUUGGCUGGGAAAUUUCUAUCUUAGAUCUUGAGAUGCCCUUCUCCAAAAGAUGAUACAUUAAUAGUAUAUGUAUGUAUAUGUAUGUAUGCAGUCGAUAUAUUACUAGUAUGUAUAUAUUAAUUUGAAUAUAUAUAGUUAAUAGAGUUCAGUCAUUUAACAUACAUACGUAUAGAUAAAUAGAAAAUAGAUAGAUAGAUAGAUAGAUAGUUUGUAUAUGGACAGUUGCUGCUCUUUGUCCAAGUGUGUGUGUGUAUCGUGUGUGUGUAUCUCCACCCAGCUAAAUUUAAAGUAAAAAGAUGUAGUCAUUAGACUUAUAUAGUUUUAUGUGUUUUACAGUCUUGUAAAUCUCUAGAUUUUUAUGAUUUCAUCCAUGUUAACUCUUGAUUAUAAAGAGCUAAGUGGACUAGGAUGCUAAUCUAGGCAAAAGAUUGAAAUUCCUAAAAAAAAAAAAAAGAAAAAAAGA
Molecule: long non-coding RNA, 3607 nt
Filed under: Canis lupus familiaris (dog)
Lineage: Eukaryota; Metazoa; Chordata; Mammalia; Carnivora; Canidae
Description: lncRNA (ENSCAFG00000053795.1)
Source: RNAcentral